GUGCUCUCUUUGGCAGCACAUAUACUAAAGUCGGUACCAUAACAGAGAAGAUUAGCACAGCCCCUGCGCGAGGAUGAAGUGCAAAUUCAUGAAGAAGAUUCUAAGGAC
Molecule: small nuclear RNA, 108 nt
Organism: Fukomys damarensis (Damara mole-rat)
Lineage: Eukaryota; Metazoa; Chordata; Mammalia; Rodentia; Bathyergidae
Source: Ensembl